This is an RNA transcript of Gopherus flavomarginatus (Mexican gopher tortoise), 2480 nucleotides long. It is a transcript of the gene named transmembrane and coiled-coil domains 3, with no coding region annotated. The transcript has 13 exons. NCBI's taxonomy places the organism in Eukaryota, Metazoa, Chordata, Testudines, Testudinidae. The record is from RefSeq and is a predicted model, not a curated record.
GGAGCCGUAUCUGCACUAAGCAACCGGCACUAAGGAAGGUAGCGUCUUGGCAGCUGGCGGUGUUGUCAUUUCUCACCAGGGGCUGUUGAGUCGGGCGCCCAAUAGGAGCAGGGAUAACGGCACGCGGCACCACCCCAGCUCCCUGGGAGCGGCCGCCCCCUCUGGGCUGGCCUCGCCUGCGGCUCCUCCCGCUGCUGGUGAGCCGGACGGAUGGAGGUAGCGGCAGCCGGAGCCUGAAGCGGCCACCUCGCCCCAACCCGGCCGCCGCCCUGAGCACAACAUGUGUAUUCGAAAUGCAGAGAGCAUAUUAUAGAAGGCUUUGGACUCUUGCUGGUUGUAUACAGUAAUACAAUGAAGGCAAUUGAAUUUAAUUCCCUACGGAUAUUGAUUUCACUACUUUGCUGCCAGUUAUUCAACACUGCAGAGCAUGAAGAUGUAGUAAAGCAUGCAAUAAAGCUGCAUCGUGGGAAAGGUGCUGCUGUCACACAGAGAAAACAGUGGGUCUUAGAAAACUGCAGAAAGCUGUCUGGGCUCCUUCGCCAAAAGAACGUGGUUCUCAACAAACUAAAAAAUGCAAUAAGAUCAGUAGAGAAGGACUUGGGGCUGUCAGAUGAAGAGAAACUUUUUCAGGUGCACACAUUUGAAAUUUUCCAAAAGGAGCUGAAUGAAAGUGAAAACUCAGUCUUUCAAGCAAUCCAUGGACUCCAGAGAGCCCUUCAAGGUGAUUACAAAGAUGUUGUAAACAUGAAAGAAAGUAGUAGACAGCGAUUGGAGGCCUUGAGAGAAGCUGCAAUAAAGGAGGAAACAGAGUAUGUUGAACUUUUAGCAGCAGAAAAACAUCAGGUUGAAGCCCUUAAGAAAAUGCAGCAUCAAAAUAAAAGCCUGUCUAUGCUAGAUGAAAUUCUUGAAGAUGUUAGGAAAGCAGCCGAUAGGCUGGAAGAGGAAAUAGAAGAACAUGCCUUUGAUGACAACAAAUCAGUGAGAGGUGUUAACUUUGAAGCAGUUUUAAGGGUGGAAGAAGAUGAAGCAGACUCCAAGAGAAAUAUUUCAAAAAGAGAAGUGGAAGAUGACCUGGGUCUUAGCAUGCUUAUUGAUUCCCAAAACAAUCAGUAUAUACUUACCAAGCCCAGGGAUUCAACCAUCCCUCGUGCUGAUCACCAUUUCAUAAAGGAUAUUGUGACCAUAGGAAUGUUAUCUUUGCCAUGUGGCUGGCUGUGCACAAUGAUAGGAUUGCCAACCAUGUUUGGGUACAUCAUUUGUGGAGUACUCUUGGGACCAUCAGGAUUAAACAGCAUUAAGUCCAUUGUACAAGUGGAAACAUUAGGAGAGUUUGGUGUGUUCUUCACUCUGUUUCUAGUUGGUCUGGAGUUUUCCCCUGAAAGGCUAAGAAAGGUGUGGAAGAUAUCUUUGCAAGGACCCUGUUACAUGACACUUCUGAUGAUUGCUUUUGGCUUACUAUGGGGACAUUUACUACAGAUUAGACCAACACAGUGUGUCUUCAUUUCUACUUGUUUAUCCUUAUCCAGCACACCCUUAGUAUCCAGAUUCCUUGUAGGGAGUGCUCGAGGAGAUAAAGAAGGUGAUAUCGAUUACAGUAGUGUACUACUUGGUAUGCUGGUAAUGCAGGAUGUACAGCUUGGUUUAUUUAUAGCUGUUAUGCCAACCCUAAUUCAAGCAGGAGCCAGCACAUACUCCAGCAUUGUCAUGGAAAUACUGAGAAUACUGAUACUGAUUGGCCAAAUUCUCUUUUCUCUGGCUGCUGUUUUUCUUAUAUGUCUUGUUAUAAAGACUUAUCUCAUAGGACCAUAUUAUCGCAAGUUGCAUGCGGAGAGUAAAGGGAAUAAAGAAAUCCUCAUUUUAGGAAUAUCUGCUUUCAUCUUUCUUAUGUUAACGAUCACAGAGCUACUGGAUGUUUCAAUGGAAUUGGGAUGCUUCUUAGCGGGAGCACUGAUCUCUUCUCAGGGUCACAUGGUUACUGAAGAGAUUAUGUCCUGUAUUGAACCAAUACGUGACUUUCUUGCCAUCAUUUUCUUUGCAUCUAUAGGGCUUCAUGUUUUCCCCACCUUUGUAAUUUAUGAACUCACAGUCUUGCUAUUUCUUACAUUAUCAGUGGUAAUAAUGAAGAGAGCAUGCUGUUUUAUCUAUCAUACUUCUAAAAACAAAUUGUUUUCUAAAGUUUGUUUUGGCAGUGCUUGUCCUUUCUCUGAUUCUUCCAAAGAGCAGCCAGUAUAUCAAAUGGAUUGUCUCAGCAGGGCUGGCACAAGUCAGUGAGUUUUCUUUUGUUCUGGGAAGUAGAGCACGCAGAGCAGGGAUCAUUUCUCGAGAGGUAUAUCUCCUUAUUCUGAGUGUAACUACUCUAAGCCUUUUGCUUGCCCCAGCACUGUGGAGAGCUGCAACUAUGAAAUGUGUACCAAGACCAGAAAGACGAUCAAGUACCUGACAAGACUUGUAUGGAAAUAAUAAAUUUGCUUUGGAAAGAA